GAUUGAACGCUGGCGGCAGGCCUAACACAUGCAAGUCGAACGGUAACAGGAAGCAGCUUGCUGCUUUGCUGACGAGUGGCGGACGGGUGAGUAAUGUCUGGGAAACUGCCUGAUGGAGGGGGAUAACUACUGGAAACGGUAGCUAAUACCGCAUAACGUCGCAAGACCAAAGAGGGGGACCUUCGGGCCUCUUGCCAUCGGAUGUGCCCAGAUGGGAUUAGCUAGUAGGUGGGGUAACGGCUCACCUAGGCGACGAUCCCUAGCUGGUCUGAGAGGAUGACCAGCCACACUGGAACUGAGACACGGUCCAGACUCCUACGGGAGGCAGCAGUGGGGAAUAUUGCACAAUGGGCGCAAGCCUGAUGCAGCCAUGCCGCGUGUAUGAAGAAGGCCUUCGGGUUGUAAAGUACUUUCAGCGGGGAGGAAGGGAGUAAAGUUAAUACCUUUGCUCAUUGACGUUACCCGCAGAAGAAGCACCGGCUAACUCCGUGCCAGCAGCCGCGGUAAUACGGAGGGUGCAAGCGUUAAUCGGAAUUACUGGGCGUAAAGCGCACGCAGGCGGUUUGUUAAGUCAGAUGUGAAAUCCCCGGGCUCAACCUGGGAACUGCAUCUGAUACUGGCAAGCUUGAGUCUCGUAGAGGGGGGUAGAAUUCCAGGUGUAGCGGUGAAAUGCGUAGAGAUCUGGAGGAAUACCGGUGGCGAAGGCGGCCCCCUGGACGAAGACUGACGCUCAGGUGCGAAAGCGUGGGGAGCAAACAGGAUUAGAUACCCUGGUAGUCCACGCCGUAAACGAUGUCGACUUGGAGGUUGUGCCCUUGAGGCGUGGCUUCCGGAGCUAACGCGUUAAGUCGACCGCCUGGGGAGUACGGCCGCAAGGUUAAAACUCAAAUGAAUUGACGGGGGCCCGCACAAGCGGUGGAGCAUGUGGUUUAAUUCGAUGCAACGCGAAGAACCUUACCUGGUCUUGACAUCCACGGAAGUUUUCAGAGAUGAGAAUGUGCCUUCGGGAACCGUGAGACAGGUGCUGCAUGGCUGUCGUCAGCUCGUGUUGUGAAAUGUUGGGUUAAGUCCCGCAACGAGCGCAACCCUUAUCCUUUGUUGCCAGCGGUCCGGCCGGGAACUCAAAGGAGACUGCCAGUGAUAAACUGGAGGAAGGUGGGGAUGACGUCAAGUCAUCAUGGCCCUUACGACCAGGGCUACACACGUGCUACAAUGGCGCAUACAAAGAGAAGCGACCUCGCGAGAGCAAGCGGACCUCAUAAAGUGCGUCGUAGUCCGGAUUGGAGUCUGCAACUCGACUCCAUGAAGUCGGAAUCGCUAGUAAUCGUGGAUCAGAAUGCCACGGUGAAUACGUUCCCGGGCCUUGUACACACCGCCCGUCACACCAUGGGAGUGGGUUGCAAAAGAAGUAGGUAGCUUAACCUUCGGGAGGGCGCUUACCACUUUGUGAUUCAUGACUGGGGUGAAGUCGUAACAAGGUAACCGUAGGGGAACCUGCGGUUGGAUCACCUCCUU
This 1515-nucleotide ribosomal RNA is filed under the name Escherichia coli. Its description in RNAcentral is "bacterial SSU rRNA". It matches the Rfam family "Bacterial small subunit ribosomal RNA". The record is from RNAcentral. Lineage: Bacteria; Pseudomonadati; Pseudomonadota; Gammaproteobacteria; Enterobacterales; Enterobacteriaceae.